This 449-nucleotide ribosomal RNA is filed under the name uncultured Desulfobulbus sp. Its description in RNAcentral is "bacterial SSU rRNA". It matches the Rfam family "Bacterial small subunit ribosomal RNA", at positions 936 to 1382 of the family's 1533-position model. Lineage: Bacteria; Pseudomonadati; Thermodesulfobacteriota; Desulfobulbia; Desulfobulbales; Desulfobulbaceae. The record is from RNAcentral.
AGUAUGUGGUUAAUUCGAUGCAACGCGAAGAACCUUACCUGGUCUUGACAUCCCGGAGACCCUUAGGAACUAGGGGUGCUUCCAUCUGGAAGAAUCUGGAGACAGGUGCUGCAUGGCUGUCGUCAGCUCGUGUCGUGAGAUGUUGGGUUAAGUCCCGCAACGAGCGCAACCCUUGCCUUUAGUUGCCAGCAGUUCGGCUGGGCACUCUAAAGGGACUGCCGGUGUUAAACCGGAGGAAGGUGGGGAUGACGUCAAGUCCUCAUGGCCUUUAUGACCAGGGCUACACACGUACUACAAUGGCCGAUACAAAGGGCAGCGACACUGCGAGGUGAAGCCAAUCCCGUAAAAUCGGUCUCAGUCCGGAUUGGAGUCUGCAACUCGACUCCAUGAAGUUGGAAUCGCUAGUAAUCGUGGAUCAGCAUGCCACGGUGAAUACGUUCCCGGGCCUU